RNAcentral lists this long non-coding RNA (513 nucleotides) under Ictidomys tridecemlineatus (thirteen-lined ground squirrel). RNAcentral describes it as "lncRNA (ENSSTOG00000031075.1)". Lineage: Eukaryota; Metazoa; Chordata; Mammalia; Rodentia; Sciuridae. The record is from RNAcentral.
GCCCUGUAAGUCCGGCCCCUGACAGUGACUCAGACACAUCAGGCAGCUUCUCUGUCCCCCCAACUCUUUCUUCUCUGGGCAAAACAGCCCUCCAUGCUUCAGUCACAGCUUGUAGGACAUCAUUGAGAUGCUGACAAGAAGCGGCUCUGCGGCCCUCCCUGGUGGCCAGAGUGGCUGGCCUCAAUUAGUCUGCAGGGCUUAACCCGUGGUCACCUUGCAGGGAGGAAAUAAGGGCCCCUCAAGACUCUGAAAGGUUGGUUCUUGCCAUCAGCACAAAUGCCAAGGGUGCGUUGAGGAGUUGCGGCUGGUGCCUCCCUGCAUCCUGCCUCCUGUGGAAGGACCGGCUCUAUACAGCUAACUGGGACACGGGAGGCCCUCCUCCUGCGCAUCCUUGGGAGGCAGAGCAGAUGAGGACUCAGACUGUGGGAAGCCAUGGAUGUCACCCAGCCAUCGCUUUUCUCCGCGAGGUGAGCUGUGCCCCUUCUUUCUGCCCAAGUUGAUUGACAGCUGGUA